AUUGAACGCUGGCGGCAUGCUUUACACAUGCAAGUCGGACGGCAGCACAGAGAAGCUUGCUUCUUGGGUGGCGAGUGGCGAACGGGUGAGUAACAUAUCGGAACGUACCGAGCAGUGGGGGAUAACUAAUCGAAAGAUUAGCUAAUACCGCAUAUCUUCUGAGGAAGAAAGCAAGGGACCAUUUGGCCUUGCGCUGUUUGAGCGGCCGAUAUCUGAUUAGCUAGUUGGUGGGGUAAAGGCCUACCAAGGCGACGAUCAGUAGCGGGUCUGAGAGGAUGAUCCGCCACACUGGGACUGAGACACGGCCCAGACUCCUACGGGAGGCAGCAGUGGGGAAUUUUGGACAAUGGGCGCAAGCCUGAUCCAGCCAUGCCGCGUGUCUGAAGAAGGCCUUCGGGUUGUAAAGGACUUUUGUCAGGGAAGAAAAGGGCGGGGUUAAUACCCCUGUCUGAUGACGGUACCUGAAGAAUAAGCACCGGCUAACUACGUG
RNAcentral lists this ribosomal RNA (490 nucleotides) under uncultured bacterium. Its description in RNAcentral is "partial 16S ribosomal RNA". It matches the Rfam family "Bacterial small subunit ribosomal RNA", at positions 30 to 507 of the family's 1533-position model. The record is from RNAcentral.